This 200-nucleotide ribosomal RNA is filed under the name uncultured bacterium. RNAcentral's name for it is "partial 16S ribosomal RNA". It matches the Rfam family "Bacterial small subunit ribosomal RNA", at positions 30 to 230 of the family's 1533-position model. The record is from RNAcentral.
AUUGAACGCUGGCGGCAGGCCUAACACAUGCAAGUCGAGCGGAUGAAGAGAGCUUGCUCUCUGAUUCAGCGGCGGACGGGUGAGUAAUGCCUAGGAAUCUGCCUGGUAGUGGGGGACAACGUUUCGAAAGGAACGCUAAUACCGCAUACGUCCUACGGGAGAAAGCAGGGGACCUUCGGGCCUUGCGCUAUCAGAUGAGC